GGAUGGGUAGCGUAGUGGUAAAGCGUUCCCUGAGCGUAUUCAGCGUUGAUUUGAUUUACCUUCAGCGUUUAGCGAAAGAUCCGGGUUCGAGUCCCGGCCCGCCCA
This is a non-coding RNA of Cercophora newfieldiana, 105 nucleotides long. The record is from the annotation of a GenBank genome assembly. Lineage: Eukaryota; Fungi; Ascomycota; Sordariomycetes; Sordariales; Lasiosphaeriaceae.